RNAcentral lists this small nuclear RNA (21 nucleotides) under Arabidopsis thaliana (thale cress). Its description in RNAcentral is "snRNA_16548". Lineage: Eukaryota; Viridiplantae; Streptophyta; Magnoliopsida; Brassicales; Brassicaceae. The record is from RNAcentral.
AGAAGUCUUGUACUCUUGCUG